GGGCACAUGGUGUAGUUGGUUAUCACAUCCGCUUAGCAUUUACGGCUUGCGGGGGGUGCUGGGUUCAAUUCCCAGUGUGUCCA
Molecule: transfer RNA, 83 nt
Filed under: Lentinula aff. boryana
Lineage: Eukaryota; Fungi; Basidiomycota; Agaricomycetes; Agaricales; Omphalotaceae
Description: tRNA-Ala
Rfam family: tRNA
About the family: Transfer RNA (tRNA) molecules are approximately 80 nucleotides in length. Their secondary structure includes four short double-helical elements and three loops (D, anti-codon, and T loops).
Source: RNAcentral